AUACGGAGGGUCCGAGCGUUAUCCGGAAUCAUUGGGUUUAAAGGGUCCGUAGGCGGGAAUCUAAGUCAGUGGUGAAAUCUUGCAGCUCAACUGUAAAAUUGCCAUUGAUACUGGAUUUCUUGAAUUAGUGUGAAGUGGUUAGAAUGUGUAGUGUAGCGGUGAAAUGCAUAGAUAUUACACAGAAUACCAAUUGCGAAGGCAGAUCACUAACACUAUAUUGACGCUAAGGGACGAAAGCGUGGGGAGCGAACAGGAUUAGAUACCCCGGUAGUCC
RNAcentral lists this ribosomal RNA (274 nucleotides) under uncultured bacterium. RNAcentral's name for it is "partial 16S ribosomal RNA". It matches the Rfam family "Bacterial small subunit ribosomal RNA", at positions 523 to 796 of the family's 1533-position model. The record is from RNAcentral.